Molecule: ribosomal RNA, 253 nt
Filed under: uncultured bacterium
Lineage: Bacteria
Description: partial 16S ribosomal RNA
Rfam family: Bacterial small subunit ribosomal RNA
Source: RNAcentral
UACAGAGGUGGCAAGCGUUGUUCGGAAUUACUGGGCGUAAAGGGCGCGUAGGCGGUUCGGUAAGUCCUGUGUGAAAUCCCUCGGCUCAACUGAGGAACUGCACGGGAGACUGCCGGGCUUGAGUUCGGGAGAGGGAAGCGGAAUUCCGGGUGUAGCGGUGAAAUGCGCAGAUAUCAGGAGGAACACCGGUGGCGAAGGCGGGUCUCUGGGCCGAUACUGACGCUGAGGAGCGAAAGCGUGGGGAGCGAACAGG